GAGGGCAGCCAGAGGGGGAAGGCGAAGCGAAGGCUGUGGCUCCCCCCCAGCCGUUCGCAGCGGGCGCCGGCACCGCGGUACCGCCGGGAGGGUGAAGCGAGGCGCCUGGAGAAGAAACCACCUCACACACUGCUUUCUCUUUGUGCAAACUUCUGCUUUGCAUUUCCACCCAUUCAUCCUAGCGUGAAGCCUCGCACAAAAGGCAGCAAGAAAAGCCUCUGCUGCUCCGACCCUUUUGGUGUGCGUAAACCUGAACUCUCGCAAAGGGAAGCAGCGAGUCCGUGGGUUGGGAUCCAGGUGAAUGAGUGGACAGCUGGCUACAGAGGAGAGACAGAUUCUAUUUGA
This 345-nucleotide long non-coding RNA is filed under the name Meleagris gallopavo (turkey). Its description in RNAcentral is "lncRNA (ENSMGAG00000019888.1)". Lineage: Eukaryota; Metazoa; Chordata; Aves; Galliformes; Phasianidae. The record is from RNAcentral.